Molecule: unclassified non-coding RNA, 222 nt
Filed under: Hevea brasiliensis (rubber tree)
Lineage: Eukaryota; Viridiplantae; Streptophyta; Magnoliopsida; Malpighiales; Euphorbiaceae
Source: RNAcentral
AAAAAAAAAAAAAAAAAUCCAAGUUAGUGUCCACAAGCAAGUAAACUCAUUUGUUCUUCAAUUAAGUUCAUACCAACAUCAAUUAUAUCUUGAUAUGUACUUGCAUCUUUUUCUGCACAGGUGCUCUUUUUCAUUAGUUUUCAGUAUUUAAUUAAAUAUCUAUGGUUUGUGUUCUUGACAUCUAAAAUGAUUUCAAAUUUGCAGUUUGGUUAUAUUGUGUUG